AACCGAUGGCUUGGAGUGAUUCUGUGUUAUUCUUUGGGAUCCAUAUUAUGUUGUUUAUUUUGUACUUAAGGCGGUGGAAACGAAUGAAAUUCAAAAGAAAUUGAAUUAUAUGGAAUGCUGAGACCGCGACUUGCUGCUAAAUAGAGAAAAUUAAAUUGCACACAAAUGCUCAGCUUUUGGAACUCAGGGGUCACGAAGCUGCCACAUGGAAGUGGUUUACCUCAUUGGAAACUACUUGAGAGUGAAAAGUUGUCAAAACUUUGCAUGCUACUAAAGAACAAAUAGAAGAAU
RNAcentral lists this long non-coding RNA (291 nucleotides) under Lathyrus oleraceus (garden pea). RNAcentral's name for it is "Pisum sativum (pea) long non-coding RNA (PSAT_LNC028464)". The record is from RNAcentral. Lineage: Eukaryota; Viridiplantae; Streptophyta; Magnoliopsida; Fabales; Fabaceae.